GACGAAAGUCUGACGGAGCAACGCCGCGUGAGUGAAGAAGGUUUUCGGAUCGUAAAGCUCUGUCUUUGAGGACGAAUGUGCUUAAUGUGAAUAAUGUUAAGUAAUGACGGUACUCGAGGAGGAAGCCACGGCUAACUACGUGCCAGCAGCCGCGGUAAUACGUAGGUGGCAAGCGUUGUCCGGAAUUAUUGGGCGUAAAGCGCGCGCAGGCGGGAUAUUAAGUCUGUUUUAAAAGUUCGGGGCUCAACCCCGUGAUGGAAUGGAAACUAAUAUUCUUGAGUGCAGGAGAGGAAAGUGGAAUUCCCAGUGUAGCGGUGAAAUGCGUAGAUAUUGGGAGGAACACCAGUGGCGAAGGCGACUUUCUGGACUGUGUCUGACGCUGAGGCGCGAAAGCCAGGGGAGUGAACGGGAUUAGAUACCCCGGUAAUCCUGGCCGUAAACGAUGGGUACUAGGUGUAGGAGGUAUCGACCCCUUCUGUGCCGGAGUUAACGCAAUAAGUACCCCGCCUGGGGAGUA
RNAcentral lists this ribosomal RNA (517 nucleotides) under uncultured bacterium. RNAcentral describes it as "bacterial SSU rRNA". It matches the Rfam family "Bacterial small subunit ribosomal RNA", at positions 374 to 882 of the family's 1533-position model. The record is from RNAcentral.